Molecule: long non-coding RNA, 2071 nt
Organism: Pipistrellus kuhlii (Kuhl's pipistrelle)
Lineage: Eukaryota; Metazoa; Chordata; Mammalia; Chiroptera; Vespertilionidae
Exons: 3
Source: RefSeq, a predicted model, not a curated record
AAGAACUGAUUCAAAUUCUGAGUCUGUCACUUGUCAUCAGUUAUUGACCAAACUACUGAACUUCUCUGUGCAUCAGCUUUCUCAUCUAUGAAAUAAUAGUUGCUACCUCCUAGGAUUGCUAACGCGAUGCAGUGAGAUAAUGCAUUUGAACUGCAAGAUGCCAGACCUAAAAUCUGCUUAGUCAAUGCUCUUAACUUUUUUUUUAAAGGACCAUAACCCAAAGCUGGUGUUUGACUAUGUCACAGGCACCUCUCUUCCUCCCCCGUCUGCCUACUGAUUAUUUUCCCUUUUUCACCCUCAGAAUGUUUUGGAUGAUGUUGCAAGUGCCUGGAACAAAAGCAGAAGGGAAGUGUAGGCGGGCCUGGAGGGCAUGAGCCAGUCUCUUCACUCUGAGUCAUCGUUCAGAAGGCACUGGGGCUGCCGGGCACCGAGGAGGGAGGUGAAGUAAAGGCCCUGUUUUCAGGAAGUUCAGCCUCUGAUUGGGGAGCCAGGAAUCAUGCUUGGGAAAGAAAGCAGGAUUCAAAUCAGACUGGGGGUUGCGCCCUCCGCCACUGCAACUGCCACAGCUACGCACACCCAGGUGCCUGCUCCUGGCCGCACUGUGAUGCCCGUGGAACUGAGCACAGACCUCACACAGCCUCUCCAUCGAGAACCCAUUGCCACCCCUUCCUCUCGGACCUGCUGCCCUGCACUCAUCUGGAGCUGGGGUUCCUCCACACCUUCCUUUCUUCUUUUUUCUUCUUUCUUCUCUAUCUCAAUGCAGCUCCUUCCUCUGAUCUUCCCCCAGUCCUCUACCUCCUUCCACAUUCUUUCAGCUGCAACCUGGGCGCUCAUCAUUUGCUGCCUGGUGGUUAAGGUUCUCUGUAAAUUUUUGUUAACCAAUAGUUACCAGAUUGUUAACUCCUUAAAGGUAGAUGUCUUACUCUGUUGUCUACCAGCACUUAAAAUAUACUCCAAAAAGGAAAUGAAAUAAAUAAAAUGAAAUAAAUAAUAAAGUAAAGUAAAAUAAAAUAUACUCCAUGCCCUGGCCAAUUUUUCCCAAUGGUUGACCCUUGGACCAAAGGGUCUCGGGUUCAAUUCCCAGUCCAGGGCACGAACCUCAGCUGCAGGUUAAGUCCUCGGCCCCGGAUCAAGGUUCAUACAGGAGGCAACCAAUUGAUGUGUCUCUCUCACGUGGACGUAUUUCUUCCUCCCUCUCUCUAAAAGUCCAUGGAAAAAAUACCCUCAGGUGAGGAUUUAAAAAACAAAACAAAACUAUCCUCCCAAAGUGACAGUUGAAUUGCACCAUAGAUGAGUAACACUUCUUCCCCUUCAAGGCCUUAUCCAUACUCCUCCUUCCAACGCCUCUCCCAGAGAAGCAGGAUUGCCUCUUCAUUUACUGAGCAGGAAACUGAGGCCCGGAAAAUAAAAGUAAUUGGUCCAGAGGGGUGAGGAGUGUGAGUGCAGCUGAGGCCAAUGUAGACACAAGCAGACCGUUAAAUCCCUUUAAUUCUCUCCUAAGAGAUAAUAUCUUUAAAUAAAUGUGGAUUUCAAUUUAUAUUCUUAAACAAAUAAGCAAACAAAAUCACAAACGUGGCUGGAACUUUGGUUCUCCACCAAGAAUUUUUUUUCUUUUUCUUUUUCCACCAAAGAUUUCCUCCAAAAGAGGAAAGCGAAAUUUAGCCUCGGAGAAAAUGACUGCCACGUAAAAGUCAUAGGGACCUUUAAAAUUCAGCGUUUUUUAUUCUCUGGAGGUACCCUGGCCAGUCUGUCUCUGCUGUUUCUCGUCAUACUAAUUGCUCUGCCUGAAAGGCAAGUAGGGGUAAAUAUAGCAGCAGUUUCUCUGAUGUUACAUUCUCAGACCAGGUCUGAACAUGUCCUUGACACUGUCCCUUCAGAAGGAAAGAGGCGAGAAAGUAUGUCCUUGCUACUGUGUAUAAGAGAAACUUCUGUUCCCAGCCAUUGCCUGGGCACAGGGGGGAUUGGUGAGUAAUAAAGAAUUAAAAAUAAAGAAGUGAAAGAUGCUAGUGAUUUGUCAGGUUUCCUGUGUCUGGCUGUCCCUGGCAGGCAGGCCAGAGCCAGACCCAGGCAG